Molecule: ribosomal RNA, 798 nt
Filed under: Eleutherodactylus schmidti (Schmidt's robber frog)
Lineage: Eukaryota; Metazoa; Chordata; Amphibia; Anura; Eleutherodactylidae
Description: partial 16S ribosomal RNA
Rfam family: Bacterial large subunit ribosomal RNA
Source: RNAcentral
CGUCAAAGCUUUAUUUCAAUAGCAAAUAAAUGUCUUAAACAAAUUAAAACCCUCUCCCAAUACUGGAUAAUUCCAUACACCUAUGGAAGCCCUAAUGUUAAAACUAGUAACAUGAAGUUAAACCUUCUCUUAAAUGUAAACAUAAGUCAGACCGGAUAAUACACUGACAAUUAACAGCUAAACCAAAGUGACAACCCAACUCAAGAAAACCCCACUCAAGUGUCUGUUAACCUAACACAAGAACAUUAAAAGAAAGACUAAAAGAAAAAGAAGGAACUCGGCAAAACUGAUUCCGCCUGUUUACCAAAAACACCGCCUCCUGACCAAACCUAUAAGAGGUCCAGCCUGCCCAGUGACUAUGUUUAACGGCCGCGGUAUCCUAACCGUGCGAAGGUAGCGUAAUCACCUGUUUUUUAAUUGAAGACCUGUAUGAAAGGCAUCACGAGAAUCACACUGUCUCCUUUCUCUAGUCAGUGAAACUAAUCUACCCGUGAAAAAGCGGGAGUGAGAACACAAGACGAGAAGACCCUUUGGAACUUAAGACAAGAUAAUAACUGCCCCCGAAAAAUAAACCCACACCUAACAGCAUCUUAUUAAUAAGUCUUCGGUUGGGGCAACCGCGGAGUAAAAAUAAACCUCCAAGCUGAACGGAAACCUCCUAAACAAAAACCACAACUUUAUGUAUCAACAAACUGACACCAUUAGACCCAACAUCUUGAUUAACGAACCAAGCUACCCUAGGGAUAACAGCGCAAUCCACUUCAAGAGUCCCUAUCGACAAGUGGGCUUACGACCUCG